GACGAACGCUGGCGGCAUGCCUAACACAUGCAAGUCGAACGGUAAGGCCUCUUCGGAGGUACACGAGUGGCGAACGGGUGAGUAACACGUGGGUAACCUGCCCUUCACUGGGGGACGAACCGAGGGAAACUUCGGCUAAUACCGCAUAACGUGCGUUGCUUUAAGGCGACGUACCAAAACUACCGGUGGUGAAGGAUGGGCCCGCGCCAGAUUAGCUUGUUGGUGGGGUAAUGGCCUACCAAGGCGACGAUCUGAGCUGGUCUGAGAGGACGAUCAGCCACACUGGAACUGAGACACGGUCCAGACUCCUACGGGAGGCAGCAGUGGGGAAGUCUUGCGCAAUGGGCGAAAGCCUGACGCAGCGACGCCGCGUGAGGGAUGACGGCCU
This 388-nucleotide ribosomal RNA is filed under the name uncultured bacterium. RNAcentral's name for it is "bacterial SSU rRNA". It matches the Rfam family "Bacterial small subunit ribosomal RNA", at positions 28 to 417 of the family's 1533-position model. The record is from RNAcentral.